Molecule: ribosomal RNA, 2794 nt
Filed under: Klebsiella pneumoniae
Lineage: Bacteria; Pseudomonadati; Pseudomonadota; Gammaproteobacteria; Enterobacterales; Enterobacteriaceae
Description: partial 23S ribosomal RNA
Rfam family: Bacterial large subunit ribosomal RNA
Source: RNAcentral
GGUUAAGCGACUAAGCGUACACGGUGGAUGCCCUGGCAGUCAGAGGCGAUGAAGGACGUGCUAAUCUGCGAAAAGCGUCGGUAAGGUGAUAUGAACCGUUACAGCCGGCGAUGUCCGAAUGGGGAAACCCAGUGCAAUUCGUUGCACUAUCGUUAACUGAAUACAUAGGUUAACGAGGCGAACCGGGGGAACUGAAACAUCUAAGUACCCCGAGGAAAAGAAAUCAACCGAGAUUCCCCCAGUAGCGGCGAGCGAACGGGGAGCAGCCCAGAGUCUGAAUCAGCUUGUGUGUUAGUGGAACGGUCUGGAAAGUCCGACGGUACAGGGUGAUAGUCCCGUACACCAAAAUGCACAGGCUGUGAACUCGAAGAGUAGGGCGGGACACGUGGUAUCCUGUCUGAAUAUGGGGGGACCAUCCUCCAAGGCUAAAUACUCCUGACUGACCGAUAGUGAACCAGUACCGUGAGGGAAAGGCGAAAAGAACCCCGGCGAGGGGAGUGAAAAAGAACCUGAAACCGUGUACGUACAAGCAGUGGGAGCACCUUCGGGUGUGACUGCGUACCUUUUGUAUAAUGGGUCAGCGACUUAUAUUCUGUAGCAAGGUUAACCGUAUAGGGGAGCCGCAGGGAAACCGAGUCUUAACUGGGCGUUAAGUUGCAGGGUAUAGACCCGAAACCCGGUGAUCUAGCCAUGGGCAGGUUGAAGGUUGGGUAACACUAACUGGAGGACCGAACCGACUAAUGUUGAAAAAUUAGCGGAUGACUUGUGGCUGGGGGUGAAAGGCCAAUCAAACCGGGAGAUAGCUGGUUCUCCCCGAAAGCUAUUUAGGUAGCGCCUCGUGAACUCAUCUUCGGGGGUAGAGCACUGUUUCGGCUAGGGGGUCAUCCCGACUUACCAACCCGAUGCAAACUACGAAUACCGAAGAAUGUUAUCACGGGAGACACACGGCGGGUGCUAACGUCCGUCGUGAAGAGGGAAACAACCCAGACCGCCAGCUAAGGUCCCAAAGUCAUGGUUAAGUGGGAAACGAUGUGGGAAGGCACAGACAGCCAGGAUGUUGGCUUAGAAGCAGCCAUCAUUUAAAGAAAGCGUAAUAGCUCACUGGUCGAGUCGGCCUGCGCGGAAGAUGUAACGGGGCUAAACCAUGCACCGAAGCUGCGGCAGCGACACUAUGUGUUGUUGGGUAGGGGAGCGUUCUGUAAGCCUGCGAAGGUGUGCUGUGAGGCAUGCUGGAGGUAUCAGAAGUGCGAAUGCUGACAUAAGUAACGAUAAAGCGGGUGAAAAGCCCGCUCGCCGGAAGACCAAGGGUUCCUGUCCAACGUUAAUCGGGGCAGGGUGAGUCGACCCCUAAGGCGAGGCCGAAAGGCGUAGUCGAUGGGAAACAGGUUAAUAUUCCUGUACUUGGUGUUACUGCGAAGGGGGGACGGAGAAGGCUAUGUUAGCCGGGCGACGGUUGUCCCGGUUUAAGCAUGUAGGCUGGUUAUCCAGGCAAAUCCGGAUAAUCAAGGCUGAGGUGUGAUGACGAGGCACUACGGUGCUGAAGUAACAAAUGCCCUGCUUCCAGGAAAAGCCUCUAAGCAUCAGGUAACAUCAAAUCGUACCCCAAACCGACACAGGUGGUCAGGUAGAGAAUACCAAGGCGCUUGAGAGAACUCGGGUGAAGGAACUAGGCAAAAUGGUGCCGUAACUUCGGGAGAAGGCACGCUGGUGUGUAGGUGAAGUCCCUGCGGAUGGAGCUGAGACCAGUCGAAGAUACCAGCUGGCUGCAACUGUUUAUUAAAAACACAGCACUGUGCAAACACGAAAGUGGACGUAUACGGUGUGACGCCUGCCCGGUGCCGGAAGGUUAAUUGAUGGGGUUAUCCGUAAGGAGAAGCUCUUGAUCGAAGCCCCGGUAAACGGCGGCCGUAACUAUAACGGUCCUAAGGUAGCGAAAUUCCUUGUCGGGUAAGUUCCGACCUGCACGAAUGGCGUAAUGAUGGCCAGGCUGUCUCCACCCGAGACUCAGUGAAAUUGAACUCGCUGUGAAGAUGCAGUGUACCCGCGGCAAGACGGAAAGACCCCGUGAACCUUUACUAUAGCUUGACACUGAACAUUGAGCCUUGAUGUGUAGGAUAGGUGGGAGGCUUUGAAGCGUGGACGCCAGUCUGCGUGGAGCCAACCUUGAAAUACCACCCUUUAAUGUUUGAUGUUCUAACGUUGGCCCCUGACCGGGGUUGCGGACAGUGUCUGGUGGGUAGUUUGACUGGGGCGGUCUCCUCCCAAAGCGUAACGGAGGAGCACGAAGGUUAGCUAAUCCUGGUCGGACAUCAGGAGGUUAGUGCAAUGGCAUAAGCUAGCUUGACUGCGAGCGUGACGGCGCGAGCAGGUGCGAAAGCAGGUCAUAGUGAUCCGGUGGUUCUGAAUGGAAGGGCCAUCGCUCAACGGAUAAAAGGUACUCCGGGGAUAACAGGCUGAUACCGCCCAAGAGUUCAUAUCGACGGCGGUGUUUGGCACCUCGAUGUCGGCUCAUCACAUCCUGGGGCUGAAGUAGGUCCCAAGGGUAUGGCUGUUCGCCAUUUAAAGUGGUACGCGAGCUGGGUUUAGAACGUCGUGAGACAGUUCGGUCCCUAUCUGCCGUGGGCGCUGGAGAAUUGAGGGGGGCUGCUCCUAGUACGAGAGGACCGGAGUGGACGCAUCACUGGUGUUCGGGUUGUCAUGCCAAUGGCACUGCCCGGUAGCUAAAUGCGGAAGAGAUAAGUGCUGAAAGCAUCUAAGCACGAAACUUGCCCCGAGAUGAGUUCUCCCUGAGACU